This 253-nucleotide ribosomal RNA is filed under the name uncultured bacterium. RNAcentral's name for it is "partial 16S ribosomal RNA". It matches the Rfam family "Bacterial small subunit ribosomal RNA", at positions 524 to 776 of the family's 1533-position model. The record is from RNAcentral.
UACGUAGGGUGCAAGCGUUGUCCGGAAUUAUUGGGCGUAAAGAGCUCGUAGGCGGUCUGUCGCGUCGGCUGUGAAAACCCGGGGCUCAACCCCGGGCCUGCAGUCGAUACGGGCAGACUAGAGUGCGGUAGGGGAGACUGGAAUUCCUGGUGUAGCGGUGAAAUGCGUAGAUAUCAGGAGGAACACCGGUGGCGAAGGCGCUCAUCUGGCCCAAUACUGACGCUGAGGCGCGAAAGCUAGGGGAGCAAACGGG